UAGCGGCAACAGCGGAAGUAGC
This 22-nucleotide unclassified non-coding RNA is filed under the name Chlamydomonas reinhardtii. Its description in RNAcentral is "small RNA Cre_2298". The record is from RNAcentral. Lineage: Eukaryota; Viridiplantae; Chlorophyta; Chlorophyceae; Chlamydomonadales; Chlamydomonadaceae.